RNAcentral lists this ribosomal RNA (321 nucleotides) under uncultured Cercomonas. RNAcentral's name for it is "SSU rRNA". The stretch from base 103 to 321 matches the Rfam family "Eukaryotic small subunit ribosomal RNA", at positions 736 to 955 of the family's 1831-position model. Lineage: Eukaryota; Cercozoa; Cercomonadida; Cercomonadidae. The record is from RNAcentral.
GAUUUCUGGUAUGGCGCAUUUGGCCCGCUUCGGUUACGGAGUAGAGUGCCGUUUUGCGCCUGCCAUCCUUCUGGAGUACGACUCUCCCUUUAGUGGGUUGGGCCGGAAUCCAGAUCAUUUACUUUGAAAAAAUUAGAGUGUUUAAAGCAGGCUUACGCGUAUGAAUACAUUAGCAUGGAAUAAUAAUUUAGGACUUUGGUCUUAUUUUGUUGGUUUCUAGGACUAAAGUAAUGAUUGAUAGGGAUAGUUGGGGGUGCUAGUAUUCAGCGGCCAGAGGUGAAAUUCUUGGAUUCGCUGAAGACUAACUUAUGCGAAAGCAUU